Molecule: long non-coding RNA, 1071 nt
Filed under: Homo sapiens (human)
Lineage: Eukaryota; Metazoa; Chordata; Mammalia; Primates; Hominidae
Description: HSALNT0005175
Source: RNAcentral
CCGGUUCUGAGGUUUACAGCAAACUUCUCAGAGCACAUGGGCAAUUUUCCCCAAGCCCUUGAAAUGAAAGACAAAGAAAGCAGAGUGACAGGGCAUCUGUGGAGAAAGGGCUUGCUGGGCAGGCCAGGCCAAUUAGCUGCUUUCCACCCCUGAGCUCUCUGUGGUGGUCUUCCAGUGUUUGGUGGGGAGGGGAGGGGAGCCAUGGGGCCUGGCGUGCCUGACACCCAAUUAGUGCUCAUUCACCAACUGACCAGCCCAGCUGGCUGGCCUGCUCCCUUCCAGCUGCUCAGCAGCCGGCUCCAACAGCUCUAAGAACAGGGGGUGCUAAUUGGAUGCUGAAACCCAGCCGCUUCUCCAUCCGCCCAGCCCAGCCUUGUGAAGGCCGCGGCUUUCUUGGCCAAGCUCCUGCCCCUGGUUCCGCUGUCAACUCAUCCUCCCUGGGAAAAUGCCGCUCCUCUCAAGUAGAAAUGUAACAGCCAGCGCUGCAGCUUCCACCAGAAUUCUUGAAGAGCCCAAGUCAAGGCAGAAGCAAGAUUCCUGGAAGAGGAGCAGUGUACCUUCUACAUAUGGCCAUGGCAGAGUAACUGGGAUCAGAUUUCCUUCCCAAUAUAAACAAUAAGAAAACUAGACGAAAGAUAUAAAACAACUGUUUUCAAACAUUGAACAACUGGCAGUGCAGGAUUGUGAUCCUUGUGAGCAGACUGGGACACUGGUCUUCUCCUUCCUUUGGACUCAGACUCAGACUUAGACUGGAAUUUACAACAUCAACUCACCUGGGUUUCCAGCUUGCCAACUUCAGAUCUUGGACUUCUCAUCUUCUAUAAUCAUGAUCUGUUCCAGAAGGAACUGCUGGAUCAAAGCAUGUGCGAACUCUUAAGGCUUCUGAUACAUAUUGCCAAAUUACCACUCGAAGGACUUACCAGCAGUGAAUGGGAGAACCUCUUCCCCAGGGUCCUGACCCACCCAACCAUAAACACACAAUAAGGAAGUAAGGGGGAUGGGGGAGGGAUAUUAAUGUUUUAAUUUGUUCUUUUGUUUAUAAGUAAAGAAAAAUUUGUUUAUUCCUUAUGA